UACGUAGGGUCCGAGCGUUGUCCGGAAUUAUUGGGCGUAAAGGGCUCGUAGGCGGCUUUCUAAGUCAGGGGUGAAAUCCUGGAGCUCAACUCCAGAACUGCCUUUGAUACUGGAGAGCUUGAGUCCGGAAGAGGUGAGUGGAACUCCGAGUGUAGAGGUGAAAUUCGUAGAUAUUCGGAAGAACACCAGUGGCGAAGGCGGCUCACUGGACCGGUAUUGACGCUGAGGUGCGAAAGCGUGGGGAGCAAACAGG
Molecule: ribosomal RNA, 253 nt
Filed under: uncultured bacterium
Lineage: Bacteria
Description: partial 16S ribosomal RNA
Rfam family: Bacterial small subunit ribosomal RNA
Source: RNAcentral